GUGGGGAAUCUUCCACAAUGGACGAAAGUCUGAUGGAGCAACGCCGCGUGAGUGAAGAAGGGUUUCGGCUCGUAAAGCUCUGUUGUCGGGGACGAAUGUGCAGUAUUUGAAUAAAGUAUUGCAAUGACGGUACCUGACGAGGAAGCCACGGCUAACUACGUGCCAGCAGCCGCGGUAAUACGUAGGUGGCAAGCGUUGUCCGGAAUUAUUGGGCGUAAAGGGAGCGCAGGCGGGAAGGUAAGUCGGUCUUAAAAGUGCGGGGCUCAACCCCGUGAUGGGAUCGAAACUAUCUUUCUUGAGUGCAGGAGAGGAAAGUGGAAUUCCUAGUGUAGCGGUGAAAUGCGUAGAUAUUAGGAGGAACACCAGUGGCGAAGGCGACUUUCUGGACUGUAACUGACGCUGAGGCUCGAAAGCCAGGGGAGCGAACGGGAUUAGAUACCCCAGUAGUCC
RNAcentral lists this ribosomal RNA (450 nucleotides) under uncultured bacterium. RNAcentral's name for it is "partial 16S ribosomal RNA". It matches the Rfam family "Bacterial small subunit ribosomal RNA", at positions 354 to 796 of the family's 1533-position model. The record is from RNAcentral.